RNAcentral lists this ribosomal RNA (253 nucleotides) under uncultured bacterium. RNAcentral describes it as "partial 16S ribosomal RNA". It matches the Rfam family "Bacterial small subunit ribosomal RNA", at positions 524 to 776 of the family's 1533-position model. The record is from RNAcentral.
UACGUAGGGUGCGAGCGUUGUCCGGAAUUAUUGGGCGUAAAGAGCUCGUAGGCGGCUUGUCGCGUCGGUUGUGAAAGCCCGGGGCUUAACUCCGGGUCUGCAGUCGAUACGGGCAGGCUAGAGUGUGGUAGGGGAGAUCGGAAUUCCUGGUGUGGCGGUGAAAUGCGCAGAUAUCAGGAGGAACACCGGUGGCGAAGGCGGAUCUCUGGGCCAUUACUGACGCUGAGGAGCGAAAGCGUGGGGAGCGAACAGG